Molecule: ribosomal RNA, 2678 nt
Filed under: Klebsiella pneumoniae
Lineage: Bacteria; Pseudomonadati; Pseudomonadota; Gammaproteobacteria; Enterobacterales; Enterobacteriaceae
Description: 23S ribosomal RNA
Rfam family: Bacterial large subunit ribosomal RNA
Source: RNAcentral
UUAAGCGACUAAGCGUACACGGUGGAUGCCCUGGCAGUCAGAGGCGAUGAAGGACGUGCUAAUCUGCGAAAAGCGUCGGUAAGGUGAUAUGAACCGUUAUAACCGGCGAUGUCCGAAUGGGGAAACCCAGUGNUGUGAACUCGAAGAGUAGGGCGGGACACGUGGUAUCCUGUCUGAAUAUGGGGGGACCAUCCUCCAAGGCUAAAUACUCCUGACUGACCGAUAGUGAACCAGUACCGUGAGGGAAAGGCGAAAAGAACCCCGGCGAGGGGAGUGAAAAAGAACCUGAAACCGUGUACGUACAAGCAGUGGGAGCACCUUCGGGUGUGACUGCGUACCUUUUGUAUAAUGGGUCAGCGACUUAUAUUCUGUAGCAAGGUUAACCGUAUAGGGGAGCCGCAGGGAAACCGAGUCUUAACUGGGCGUUAAGUUGCAGGGUAUAGACCCGAAACCCGGUGAUCUAGCCAUGGGCAGGUUGAAGGUUGGGUAACACUAACUGGAGGACCGAACCGACUAAUGUUGAAAAAUUAGCGGAUGACUUGUGGCUGGGGGUGAAAGGCCAAUCAAACCGGGAGAUAGCUGGUUCUCCCCGAAAGCUAUUUAGGUAGCGCCUCGUGAACUCAUCUUCGGGGGUAGAGCACUGUUUCGGCUAGGGGGUCAUCCCGACUUACCAACCCGAUGCAAACUACGAAUACCGAAGAAUGUUAUCACGGGAGACACACGGCGGGUGCUAACGUCCGUCGUGAAGAGGGAAACAACCCAGACCGCCAGCUAAGGUCCCAAAGUCAUGGUUAAGUGGGAAACGAUGUGGGAAGGCACAGACAGCCAGGAUGUUGGCUUAGAAGCAGCCAUCAUUUAAAGAAAGCGUAAUAGCUCACUGGUCGAGUCGGCCUGCGCGGAAGAUGUAACGGGGCUAAACCAUGCACCGAAGCUGCGGCAGCGACACUAUGUGUUGUUGGGUAGGGGAGCGUUCUGUAAGCCUGCGAAGGUGUGCUGUGAGGCAUGCUGGAGGUAUCAGAAGUGCGAAUGCUGACAUAAGUAACGAUAAAGCGGGUGAAAAGCCCGCUCGCCGGAAGACCAAGGGUUCCUGUCCAACGUUAAUCGGGGCAGGGUGAGUCGACCCCUAAGGCGAGGCCGAAAGGCGUAGUCGAUGGGAAACAGGUUAAUAUUCCUGUACUUGGUGUUACUGCGAAGGGGGGACGGAGAAGGCUAUGUUAGCCGGGCGACGGUUGUCCCGGUUUAAGCAUGUAGGCUGAUUGUCCAGGCAAAUCCGGAUAAUCAAGGCUGAGGUGUGAUGACGAGGCACUACGGUGCUGAAGUAACAAAUGCCCUGCUUCCAGGAAAAGCCUCUAAGCAUCAGGUAACAUCAAAUCGUACCCCAAACCGACACAGGUGGUCAGGUAGAGAAUACCAAGGCGCUUGAGAGAACUCGGGUGAAGGAACUAGGCAAAAUGGUGCCGUAACUUCGGGAGAAGGCACGCUGGUGUGUAGGUGAAGUCCCUGCGGAUGGAGCUGAGACCAGUCGAAGAUACCAGCUGGCUGCAACUGUUUAUUAAAAACACAGCACUGUGCAAACACGAAAGUGGACGUAUACGGUGUGACGCCUGCCCGGUGCCGGAAGGUUAAUUGAUGGGGUUAUCCGUAAGGAGAAGCUCUUGAUCGAAGCCCCGGUAAACGGCGGCCGUAACUAUAACGGUCCUAAGGUAGCGAAAUUCCUUGUCGGGUAAGUUCCGACCUGCACGAAUGGCGUAAUGAUGGCCAGGCUGUCUCCACCCGAGACUCAGUGAAAUUGAACUCGCUGUGAAGAUGCAGUGUACCCGCGGCAAGACGGAAAGACCCCGUGAACCUUUACUAUAGCUUGACACUGAACAUUGAGCCUUGAUGUGUAGGAUAGGUGGGAGGCUUUGAAGCGUGGACGCCAGUCUGCGUGGAGCCAACCUUGAAAUACCACCCUUUAAUGUUUGAUGUUCUAACGUUGGCCCCUGACCGGGGUUGCGGACAGUGUCUGGUGGGUAGUUUGACUGGGGCGGUCUCCUCCCAAAGCGUAACGGAGGAGCACGAAGGUUAGCUAAUCCUGGUCGGACAUCAGGAGGUUAGUGCAAUGGCAUAAGCUAGCUUGACUGCGAGCGUGACGGCGCGAGCAGGUGCGAAAGCAGGUCAUAGUGAUCCGGUGGUUCUGAAUGGAAGGGCCAUCGCUCAACGGAUAAAAGGUACUCCGGGGAUAACAGGCUGAUACCGCCCAAGAGUUCAUAUCGACGGCGGUGUUUGGCACCUCGAUGUCGGCUCAUCACAUCCUGGGGCUGAAGUAGGUCCCAAGGGUAUGGCUGUUCGCCAUUUAAAGUGGUACGCGAGCUGGGUUUAGAACGUCGUGAGACAGUUCGGUCCCUAUCUGCCGUGGGCGCUGGAGAAUUGAGGGGGGCUGCUCCUAGUACGAGAGGACCGGAGUGGACGCAUCACUGGUGUUCGGGUUGUCAUGCCAAUGGCACUGCCCGGUAGCUAAAUGCGGAAGAGAUAAGUGCUGAAAGCAUCUAAGCACGAAACUUGCCCCGAGAUGAGUUCUCCCUGAGACUAUAAGUCUCCUGAAGGAACGUUAAAGACGAUGACGUUGAUAGGCCGGGUGUGUAAGCGCAGCGAUGCGUUGAGCUAACCGGUACUAAUGAACCGUGAGGCUUAACCUU